CGACCACAACGGGUGGAGCCUGCGGUUUAAUUGGACUCAACGCCGGGCAGCUCACCGGAUAAGACAGCUGGAUGAUAGCCGGGCUGAAGACUCUGCUUGACUAGCUGAGAGGAGGUGCAUGGCCGUCGUCAGUUCGUACUGUGAAGCAUCCUGUUAAGUCAGGCAACGAGCGAGACCCACGCCAACAGUUGCCAGCAUGUCCUCCGGGAUGAUGGGGACACUGUUGGGACCGCCUCUGCUAAAGAGGAGGAAGGAAUGGGCAACGGUAGGUCAGCAUGCCCCGAAUUAUCCGGGCUACACGCGGGCUACAAUGGUCAGGACAAUGGGUAUCGACACCGAGAGGUGGAGGCAAUCUCCUAAACCUGUCCUUAGUUCGGAUUGUGGGCUGCAACUCGCCCACAUGAAGCUGGAAUCCGUAGUAAUCGCGUUUCAAAAUAGCGCGGUGAAUAUGUCCCUGCUCCUU
This 463-nucleotide ribosomal RNA is filed under the name uncultured Methanolinea sp. Its description in RNAcentral is "bacterial SSU rRNA". It matches the Rfam family "Archaeal small subunit ribosomal RNA", at positions 877 to 1338 of the family's 1478-position model. The record is from RNAcentral. Lineage: Archaea; Methanobacteriati; Methanobacteriota; Methanomicrobia; Methanomicrobiales; Methanoregulaceae.